RNAcentral lists this ribosomal RNA (463 nucleotides) under uncultured bacterium. RNAcentral's name for it is "partial 16S ribosomal RNA". It matches the Rfam family "Bacterial small subunit ribosomal RNA", at positions 28 to 507 of the family's 1533-position model. The record is from RNAcentral.
GACGAACGCUGGCGGCGUGCUUAACACAUGCAAGUCGAACGGAAAGGCCCUGCUUUUGUGGGGUGCUCGAGUGGCGAACGGGUGAGUAACACGUGAGUAACCUGCCCUUGACUUUGGGAUAACUUCAGGAAACUGGGGCUAAUACCGGAUAGGAGCUCCUGCUGCAUGGUGGGGGUUGGAAAGUUUCGGCGGUUGGGGAUGGACUCGCGUCGGAUCAGCUUGUUGGUAGGGUAGUGGCUUACCAAGGAGUUGACGGGUAGCUGGCCUGAGAGGGUGAGCGGCAACACGGGGAAUGAGACACGGCCCAGACUGAUACGGGAGGCAGCAGUGGGGAAUAGUGGACGAUGGGCGAAAGACUGAUCCAGCAAUGGCGGGUGAGUGAUGAAGGCGUUAGGGUUGUAAAGCGCUUUUACACGGGAUGAUAAUGACAGUACCGGGAGAAGAAGCGCCGGCUAACUACGUG